Molecule: ribosomal RNA, 260 nt
Filed under: uncultured bacterium
Lineage: Bacteria
Description: partial 16S ribosomal RNA
Rfam family: Bacterial small subunit ribosomal RNA
Source: RNAcentral
UACGAAGGGGGCUAGCGUUGUUCGGAUUUACUGGGCGUAAAGCGCACGUAGGCGGAUCGUUAAGUCGGGGUGAAAUCCUGGAGCUCAACUCCAGAACUGCCCUUCGAUACUGGCGAUCUAGAGUCCGGAAGAGGUGAGUGGAACUCCUAGUGUAGAGGUGGAAUUCGUAGAUAUUAGGAAGAACACCAGUGGCGAAGGCGGCUCACUGGUCCGGUACUGACGCUGAGGUGCGAAAGCGUGGGAGCAACAGGAGUAAGAUA